CAGACAACAUGAAUUGCAAGCUGCCAAACGGUUGCAAGAAGAGGCUGUCAGUCGGGCAGAUGUUCUUGGCUUGCAGCUCCUAGAAGCUACCAAACAGUUGGAAGACUCCAGCAGACAGGUUAAGGAUCGAGAUGGGGCACUUCAUUCUGCCUGGGAAGAAGUCAGAUCUUUGCAAAGGGUGUUAGAGGAAGCCAUUUCUGAGCAAAGAACCCUUCAGGCUAUGAAUACGGCUUUAAUGAGCUCUUGCCAGACACUUCAGGAAAAAGAUAAAGAGCAGAAAACACUUUUGCGCCUUCAAAAGAUUUGGGGGCCAAGAAGCAGGUCAGGGCACUGGACUUCCCAAGACACCUUCCUUGAGAUACUCAUGCUGGUAUUCUACACCUCUGCUAGAUGCUCUGGCCUUGGAAAUCCUACAGCUGAAUCCAAGAGUGCUCACAAGCAGUGGUCUCACAUGUGUAGCAACCAGAGCACUCUCUACGUUUGA
Molecule: long non-coding RNA, 484 nt
Filed under: Gopherus agassizii (Agassiz's desert tortoise)
Lineage: Eukaryota; Metazoa; Chordata; Testudines; Testudinidae
Description: lncRNA (ENSGAGG00000011073.1)
Source: RNAcentral